RNAcentral lists this ribosomal RNA (326 nucleotides) under uncultured bacterium. RNAcentral describes it as "bacterial SSU rRNA". It matches the Rfam family "Bacterial small subunit ribosomal RNA", at positions 1 to 334 of the family's 1533-position model. The record is from RNAcentral.
GUACUACUCUCAGAGUUUGAUCCUGGCUCAGGAUGAACGCUGGCGGCGUGCCUAACACAUUCAAGUCGAACGAGGUAGCAAUACCUAGUGGCGGACGGGUGAGUAACGCGUGAGUAACCUGCCCUUGCGUGGGGGAUACCGUUUGGAAACGAACGUUAAUACCGCAUAAUGUAAUGAGAUCGCAUGGUUUUAUUACCAAAGAUUUAUUGCGCAAGGAUGGGCUCGCGUCUGAUUAGAUAGUUGGUGAGGUAAUGGCUCACCAAGUCUACGAUCGGUAGCCGGACUGAGAGGUUGAACGGCCACAUUGGAACUGAGAUACGGUCCAG